RNAcentral lists this ribosomal RNA (490 nucleotides) under Philopona vernicata. RNAcentral describes it as "partial 28S ribosomal RNA". Lineage: Eukaryota; Metazoa; Arthropoda; Insecta; Coleoptera; Chrysomelidae. The record is from RNAcentral.
AMAAGAGUACGUGAAACCGUUCAGGGGUAAACCUGAGAAACCCGAAAGUUCGAAUGAGGAAAUUCAUUCGCGUUUCGUUAUCGAAGACGGAAGUCGUAGCGACGGAUAGACGAUCAUUUUUUUGUUCGUCGACCGCGCUUUUCGUUCGUCUAGUCGGAUUUCGAACGCGUGCACUUUUCCUCUAGUAGGACGUCGCGAUCCGUUGGGUGUUUGUCUAAAAGUCAGAGUGGAGCCCUCGAGGCGUCACUUGGACCUCUGAAUCUUCGACAAACUCGCUCGACGGUAGAAAUGAGGCGCGAGGCCGCUAGAUUCGCGUGCGAUUCGAAAGAAUAGCGCGCGAUCGAAUUAGCGUUCGACCCGUGGCAAGCAAGUUUGCGUAUUAGACGGCGAUCGGACCCGGUGCCGAUCCUGUCACGUUAACACUGUUGGCUUGCGGUGUUCUCGAACAGACCUCGUCGAAACGCCGAUCGGCGACGCUAUAGCUUUGGGU